GUUACAAAGUUUUGAAUGUUAUACACAGGCCUAAUUAACUUUCUCCAAAAAGAUUUCUAGAAUUGCUCUGGAUCCAACCUUUCUGAUAUAAUUCAAAUUUAAUUCAUUAACUUAAAUUACGGUUGCCUUAAAGUUGUAUGAGGCUGAGGAUAGAAAAGAGAACUUACAGAAGCAUCAUGUCAUCGGAUGAUCAGCCUUCGUAUACCUUCUUCAAAAUUGAACCGAGUACGGUUGAAGACAACGAGCAGGUGGUAUUGGAUAAUCCGGUACAAGUCCUAGAGAAAGUCGACUGGAUGACCAAUGUACAUGAUACAAAAACAUUUGUAGAAAAAAGCCCCAUCGAAGAUGAGUUGUCUUUACAAGGUUUCAUUAAAACUGAAACGCAAACUGCACGAGACGUUGAAAUUCAAGAAUUUGACAAAUCGACAGCAGUCAAUAAUUGCCCUCAACCCGAAAACGACAAAGGAAAAUAUGCUACAAAGGAAAUAUUUAAAUUAUCUUGUGAUCAAUGCAGUAAAAAGUUUAAAGGACAGAGAGCGUUGAAACGCCAUACGACUUUGGCACAUUCGCUGAAACCUCGCUACCAGUGUGAGGUAUGUAAGAGUCAAUUUACCUACCCAUCGAAGCUUAGCGCGCAUGUAGAUCAAUGCAAAGCCAAGUUUGGGAUGGAUGUUGACACUUCUUUAACGAGUGUGGACAGGACGAGCACGGAAUCACCUGUCGAAUUAUCGUCUAAUUUAAUCACGAGCUCGAUUGAAAUCAAGGAAGAAGAUUGUUGGCAAAUGAACUUGGAACAUGACGAUUCAUUGUCUUCCAAUGGCAAGAAACCUACAACAACAACCUGUCAGAAUUGCGGAUCAACGGUAUCUUCAAUUGACACUAACCACCCAAAUCAGGAGGUUUAUUCCGCGCCACAUUUGCCCGUAGCUAGUUCAACUUUGGGCGUUGGCGACUUUCUGAAGCGGAACAACUUGACCCAGUACGUGAAAACAUUCGAAAAUGCCGAAAUUACGCUGCAAGAUUUACCCUACCUAAAGACUAAUGUUUCAGAACUGGCUCUGCUAAUACCCGUUAUGAGGGACCGCAUGAAGUUUGUCGAGGCUAUAGAAAUGUCGCGGAUAGACAAGGCUGUACAAGUUUCAUUAGAAUUCGAAUUAACUCCAGAAUUGGAUCUUAUGGAGCUCUGCCUGCAGUCCGAGGACGGAAAAAAGUUUCUGAAACUGAUGGAAAACCUGAACACUAUGACACACCAAAGUCGGAAUAUUUUGAAAUAUGUUCUGGUGAGCCACUAUUUCCACCGGGGCAAAGGGCGUAUAAACAAAAGGGGCUUUGAAGAGAUGGUCAAAAUAAUAAAAAAAAAUUAUCCGGAAGAGAUCGGAUGCAUAUGGUACCAGGGGAUCAAAGGGAAUCAGUGCGCGGGUUUACUAUACACAUGUUAUCGAUAUAUGCUGAAACAGUUCCGCAGUAAAGACAAACCGGAUCCGGAACCUGAACCUCAAGUUGCUGCUGAAGGUAAAGGAGAGGAAGAAAUAUUAGAAGGACAAGAAAGUACUGAACCAGUGUCAAACCUUGACUUCGCACCACGCGUGGACCUCAAGGAACUUUGCAAGGAAUCUGAUGAAGGAAAACAGUUCCUCGAGUUGAUGGAAAAUAAAACCCAUUUGACCGGGAAAAGUCGUGAUCUGUUGAAAAUAGUUCUGGUGAAAUACUUUUUUCAAAUCGGACUAGGCACGAUUCCGUGUUUGAGUUUUGAGGAAAUGUUCCAGAUGAUCAUCAAAUACUACCCGGACGAGAUUCUAAGUACCUGGUACAUUCCGAGUACCCAAGGUUAUAACGCCAAGGGUUUGCUGUAUCUGCGCUACAGGUAUCUGCUUCGUCUGAGCGCAAAGGCCCGUGGUAAAGAUAACGCCGCCGCAUUGAAGAAGAAGCUUGAUGCACCAGCAGCGCCCGAAUUCACGAAGCCAUCUGUUGUCCCACGGAUGGCAACUCAUGGACGUGAGUAUAAUUUUUAUCCUGGUGGUGUUCACAGUAGGAGAAAUCAUGAAGACGGCGAAGCAGAAAUUGAUUUCAAUGAUGAUUUCCCAGUCAUCCAAUUCAUCUUGUCGGAGGAGGAUGGCGAUCAGUGUUAAAACAGUGAAGAAGAAAAAUAAGAUUAAAAAAAAAAUCUAAAUUCUGUUAUGUAAUGAUUGUUUAUAAAUACCUUUUGGUUAGGUUUCGAUAAAUCAAAAAGAUUUUCAGUUAAUUGUUUUCAUUAUCGAAAACGUUCGAGAUUGAAAGUGAAUAUAUACCUAUUUAAUAUUUUGUUAGAACAAUUAGUUUUGACUUGAGGGUGAAGGAGUUGUAGUGUUCGCUUAGUAGAUGUUUCGACGAGUAGGUCAGAUCCCAGAAUGGGAACACUGUCGACAUAGGGACAAAAGGACUUCGCAGGCGAAAUCUUGUACCAGAUGUUAAGAAUAAAACAGAUCUGCCUCUUUGUUACUGGCUUCCGUCCUAACCAGACGUGUGUCGUCUUAUUUAUUUAAAGAACAAGAAACCCCUUUAUUUGUGACCUUAAUAAUAAGUGGUAAAUCUUAGAAAUGAUGGGUUACUUCAAUUGGCUCGUUGAACAUCUACCAGUUGGCAGAAACCAUUUUAUUUACAUAGUUUUCCGUCUCACGACAUAACUUGACGAACAUAAUUCCUAAAAUUCACUCGGUCCAUGGCAACCGUUCUCCAAUCUCUCGGGCUGGACAGUCGUCCAGCAUUCGCGCAACAGGUCCCGCCCAGCGUAUCCGGCCAGCUUUCGCCACCUUCUGGAUACUGGGUUCGCCGUAGAGUCGCGCGAGCUCGUGGUUCAUCCUUCGCCUCCACACUCCGUUCUCCUGUACGCCGCCAAAGAUGGUUCUUAACACAUGACAUCUACCAAAAAAUGGAACGACUGAUGCAUCACCCAAAUAAAUCAAUUUACGAACACGCCUUGAUUCGUCUCAAAUGUUAAAAACUUUCGUAUUCAUCUCAGGAUCUAAAAGAACUUUGCAGUCAGUGCGAGCAAGGAAGAGCAUUCCUGGAGCUGAUGAAAGACCGAAGUACAUUAACAUCGGAGAGCCGGCGAAUUUUAAAAAUGGUUCUGGUGGACUACUUUUACAAACUGGGACGAGGGC
Uranotaenia lowii is the source of this 3140-nucleotide RNA transcript. RefSeq lists it as uncharacterized. Lineage: Eukaryota; Metazoa; Arthropoda; Insecta; Diptera; Culicidae. The record is from RefSeq and is a predicted model, not a curated record. The transcript is spliced from 8 exons.